CCCUUAGAUGUUCUGGGCCGCGCGCGCGCUACACUGAUGCAUUCAACAAGUUUUACCUUGGCCGAGAGGCCUGGGAAAUCUUUCAAAUAUGUAUCGUGAUAGGGAUAGAUUAUUGCAAUUAUUAAUCUUGAACGAGGAAUUCCUAGUAAAUGCAGAUCAUCAUUCUGCGUUGAUUACGUCCCUGCCCUUUGUACACACCGCCCGUCGCACCUACCGAUUGAAUGAUCCGGUGAAGCCUCGGGAUUGUGCCCAGAGAACUUUAUUGUGAUUUGGGUGUGAGAACUUGUCUAAACCUUAUCAUUUAGAGGAAGGUGAAGUCGUAACA
This 325-nucleotide ribosomal RNA is filed under the name uncultured eukaryote. RNAcentral describes it as "partial 18S ribosomal RNA". It matches the Rfam family "Eukaryotic small subunit ribosomal RNA", at positions 1470 to 1796 of the family's 1831-position model. The record is from RNAcentral.